Molecule: ribosomal RNA, 226 nt
Filed under: uncultured bacterium
Lineage: Bacteria
Description: partial 16S ribosomal RNA
Rfam family: Bacterial small subunit ribosomal RNA
Source: RNAcentral
UGAGUAACACGUAUCCAACCUGCCGUCUACUCUUGGACAGCCUUCUGAAAGGAAGAUUAAUACAAGAUGGCAUCAUGAGUUCACAUGUUCACAUGAUUAAAGGUAUUCCGGUAGACGAUGGGGAUGCGUUCCAUUAGCCAGUUGGCGGGUAACGGCCCACCGAGGCGACGAUGGAUAGGGGUUCUGAGAGGAAGGUCCCCCACAUUGGAACUGAGACACGGUCCAA